This 520-nucleotide small RNA is filed under the name uncultured Glomus. Its description in RNAcentral is "SSU rRNA". It matches the Rfam family "Eukaryotic small subunit ribosomal RNA", at positions 569 to 1093 of the family's 1831-position model. The record is from RNAcentral. Lineage: Eukaryota; Fungi; Glomeromycota; Glomeromycetes; Glomerales; Glomeraceae.
AGCAGCCGCGGUAAUUCCAGCUCCAAUAGCGUAUAUUAAAGUUGCUGCAGUUAAAAGCUCGUAGUUGAAUUUCGGGACCAAUAUGUCGGUCGUGCUUCGGUACGUACUGUCAUAAUUGGUUUCUCCCUUCUGAAGAACCUUGAUGUCAUUAAUUUGGUGUCUUGGGGAAUCAGGACUGUUACUUUGAAAAAUUAGAGUGUUUAAAGCAGGCUCGCGCUUGAAUACAUUAGCAUGGAAUAAUGAAAUAGGACGUUUGAUUCUAUUUUGUUGGUUUCUAGGAUCGACGUAAUGAUUAAUAGGGAUAGUUGGGGGCAUUAGUAUUCAAUUGUCAGAGGUGAAAUUCUUGGAUUUAUUGAAGACUAACUACUGCGAAAGCAUUUGCCAAGGAUGUUUUCAUUAAUCAAGAACGAAAGUUAGGGGAUCGAAGACGAUCAGAUACCGUCGUAGUCUUAACCAUAAACUAUGCCGACUAGGGAUCGGAUGAUGUUAAUUUUUUAAUGACUCAUUCGGCGCCUUACGG